Molecule: ribosomal RNA, 253 nt
Filed under: uncultured bacterium
Lineage: Bacteria
Description: partial 16S ribosomal RNA
Rfam family: Bacterial small subunit ribosomal RNA
Source: RNAcentral
UACGUAGGGGGCAAGCGUUAUCCGGAAUCAUUGGGCGUAAAGCGCGUGUAGGCGGUUCUGUAAGUCCGCUCUGAAAGCCCAGGGCUCAACCCUGGGAGGCGGGUGGAUACUACAGAACUGGAGUACGGAAGAGGAGAUUGGAAUUCUCGGUGUAGCGGUGAAAUGCGUAGAUAUCGAGAGGAACACCUGCGGCGAAGGCGGGUUGCUGGGCUGAUACUGACGCUGAGGCGCGAAAGCUAGGGGAGCGAACAGG